CAAAGUCAUUUGAUGGAGAAAUGUUGAUAAAAAUGAUGACAAAGAAAAUUCUACUUCUUAGCAGAACCGUGAGAAAGAAUGGGGAAGAGUCCAUCAAAUGGACUGUACAAGGAAUCAGAAUGGCUUUGCAGUUCUCAAUCGCAACCCUGAAGUCAAGAUGACUGAAGAAAUACCUCAAAAUUCAAAAGAAUAAUAAUUUCUAAAAUAGAAUAUUAUACUGAACCAAAUUAUCUGUCAAGUAAAGACAUUUCAGAAAUACAUUCUAAAAGUAUAUAUUCCACCCACUCACUCACGAAAAGCUACUAACGGGUAUAUACUAAUAAAAUAAGAAAGGGUAAGUAAGCAAACAAAAAGACUUAAGUAUUAGAAAACAGGAGCCCAGGAAAGAGGCAAAAGGCCAGAAAAAUCCUCAGAUAGAGAAGAGAAAAAUCCCAGGGUGUCAGUCAUGCACAGACCUACACCACAAGCAGCACAGGCUGGAAAAGUAUCACUUAAGAAACAGAUGUCAAAUAGUCCUAAUUAAAUAUUUCUAUUUUCCCUAAGGACAGGUGCUAGGAUCAGGCUAGCAGAGAUUCUUACACAUUUGCCCUUUUAGCCUUGAUUAUAUGCUGAUGCUCUCCUACUCUCCUUUAAAUGCCCUGUGUUCUGAAGCAGCCAACUUCACUCAUUGCACAAAACAUUUUGUCUUUGGAUAAGCUUGAGACCUGCAAAGCAAGCCGGCGACCUUAAAAGGAAACAGAAUGUAGCCCUCUCUCUCACUACAUUGCUAUUGGGUAUUCAAUAUCAGUCCUGCUGGAUACCCUGAUUGCUGAGAGGGCCUCAGUCAGAACUUUGUAGGCUGACUUCUCCAAGAAGGCACUCUUGGAAACGGUAACGGUGCCUGAAGCCAAUGAAUCAGAGACUGCUCACUUUAUCUUCUCCCGGGAGUCUUCAUCUAAAGGUAAUAGAUUUGUGCUCACUGCUCAGUUUUUCCACACCAAGCAAUAUACUGUUUAGAGAAAACACAUAGAAAGUAAAUCAUUUUUUAAAGCCAAGAAAUGAGUCAGGCAAAAGACAGUGGCUACCUGGAAAAGAGAGGACAGGAUGAGAGCAUCCUGAGAGAUGCAUUUGGAGAAGGACCUAACCCUCGGUAGGCACACAAGCCUUUUGAUAAUUUAAAUAUAUGUAUGGUGUGUGCAUAUGUAUGUUGAUAUGGUUUUGCUCUGUAUCCCCACUCAAAUCUCAUGCCGAAUUGUAGUCCCCACGUGAAGGUGGGCCCUGGUGGGAGAUGAUUGGAUCAAGAGGGUGGUUUCACCCUUGCUAUUCUCAUAAUGAGUGGGUUCUCAUUGAGAUUUGAUGGUCUAAAAGUGUUUAGCUUUCUUAGCUUUCUCUCUCCUGCCACCACGUGAAUAAGGCUUACAUUUUGCCUUUCAUCAUGAUUGUAAGUUUCCUGAGGCUUCUCAGUCAUGCAUUCUGUUAAGCAUGUAGAACUGAGUCAAAACUUUUCUUCAUAAAUUACCCAGUCUCAGGUAGUUCUUUAUAGCAGUGUAAGUAUGGACUAAUGCAUAUGAGUGUAUGUAGGUAUAUAUGUGUAUUAUACUUUUCUAUAAGUUAAAUUUUACAACAUUAAAACAAGUGGAAAUCAUUUAUAAUCCAAUCACACAUAUAAUCCUUUUUAUCACAAUAGUGUUUCUAUGCAUGUUUGUGACAUUUUUAAUCCAUUUUUUAAAUUUAACAGCAUAUUGUGGACAUUUUUGCAAAACAUAUCCAUCUUUUUUAAUGCAUUAUGUGAAUGUUUCAAAACUUAUUCAACUAUUCUCAGUGAGCAACUUUCCAUCUUGAAAUUUCCCUUUCUAAAAUGGCAACAAUGAUAUCUGUUCCUUUUCCCUGUGCUCAAGAAUGAAGUAACAACCCAAAAGACAAGACUGCAGAGCACUGAGAACUUGCUGGAAUGCUAGCACUCCACAGAUGGCUCUGUUCCAUUCAUUGAGAAGAUAGUUUCUUUAAAUUGUUAUAUCUAUACAUUUCUGUAUCCCACUGUUUUCAAAGAGUCAAGAAUGUAUAAUCCCAAUAAUAAAC
Molecule: long non-coding RNA, 2058 nt
Filed under: Homo sapiens (human)
Lineage: Eukaryota; Metazoa; Chordata; Mammalia; Primates; Hominidae
Description: HSALNT0093327
Source: RNAcentral